Molecule: long non-coding RNA, 1463 nt
Filed under: Vigna radiata
Lineage: Eukaryota; Viridiplantae; Streptophyta; Magnoliopsida; Fabales; Fabaceae
Description: long non-coding RNA (VRAD_LNC004355)
Source: RNAcentral
GCACUAUGGUCAUUUUAUUUCUUUGACUUAUGAAAAGAGAGUGCAAACAUUAAUAUUGGGAGGUGCAUCUAGCAGAAAGUGGUGUUGUCCAUGCAGGGAAGUAGCACCCACGUUGUUGCAUCACGAAAUAAAAUGGAGGUGCAUCCAGCUGAUUCAACUCCACGGCCCAGCAUAAUUACAUACCACGGUCCAGGUGGCUUGAAGAGGUGUGCUUCAAUUGGUAGGGGUGACAUCAAGCAAAAACAAGGUGUCACAAUUUUGGAUGUGCUGAUGGUCUUCACGGAAGCAGAUUCUCAUUUUCUUGGGUGAUUUUGGAUAGAAUUGGAGAGGGGCCCAUGGAAAAAGGAGGAAGGCAUAUGUAGGACACGGAACCCUAGGAGAGAAAAAUGUUUUUUGGAGAGCCGUCACCCACUGUUGAAGAUUGGAUGGAAUUCAUUUCUUGUAGUAGGUGAACGUGCAAUGUAGGUUACAGGAGUUUUCAUUUCUUUUUAUUUGCUUUGGGAAAAUGUUUGUUUUGAUUUCUAUUUGAAUGUGCAAUUCUUCUUUUUAUUCCAGCUAUCACAUAUUAAUUUAGUUUAUACUUUGAAUGUUCAUUGGAGAUUUGAAUGUUAUUUACGCUGAUUGUUGAUGCAUCUUUAUUUAUUUGGAUUUUGAUUCCAACAAGCAUUGUCACAUCAAGAAUCCUACAGUACGUUAGUUUUUUUUUGAAGAGCAAUUUUCACUUUCUUCUAUUUAGAAUUAGCUUUGGUGGUGGCAGAUGUAACUUCUAGGAGAAUUAGCAAUUUUAUUUUCUUGCUUUGCUUUCAUAGAAUUAAUAGCAUUUAUUGUGAAGGAGGGGCCACGGCCAAAUUUCACUUUUAAUGUAAUUGCUUUUUUUUAGUGGUCAUCACGUUAGCUUUAUGUUUUUUUUUUUGUUUUUUUUUUAUUUUAAAUUAGUUUAGAUUUUAGAUAAACUUUAUGUCUUUUUAUUUUCUUUUAUUUUAAAUUAGUUUGAAAUGUAGGUUGAGUUGUUUUUAAUUUCUUUAAUUUAGUUUUGCAUUUAAUUUAAUUUAACUGUGUUUAGAUAUUUGCUUAGUCUAGUAUUUGGUUUAGCAUUUUCACUCUUUGGACUCGAUUUUAAAAAAAUAACUGCAACCACACCAGAGGUCCAAAUGCUACGUUUUAUGUGUCAAAUGAAAGAUAUUUGAGUCUAUUUUCCUGGGAAAAAAACCUCAUCUCAUUUAGAGCUCUGUAGAAAAAGUUAUGGAUAAAACAUUGAGCAAAGGUCAGAGCUGUCAUGUUCCAGCGUGAAUUUUCGUAUUUACUGUAGCAGUUUCGUUUUUACUGUUUUAAUUUCAUUUUCAUGCAUGGUGAAAUGUGUUGUUGCAUUUAAUUUCGUUUUAAUUGAAUUUAAUGAAGUUUUUACAUCUGCGUUUUAAUUUAAUUUCAUUUUAAUUUUUCUGCAUUCACCACGCAAACCUUUC